Molecule: ribosomal RNA, 253 nt
Filed under: uncultured bacterium
Lineage: Bacteria
Description: partial 16S ribosomal RNA
Rfam family: Bacterial small subunit ribosomal RNA
Source: RNAcentral
UACGAACCGUGCGAACGUUGUUCGGAUUCAUUGGGCGUAAAGGGUGCGUAGGCGGCGCGGUAAGUCGGAUGUGAAAUCUCGGAGCUUAACUUCGAAACUGCAUUCGAUACUGCCGUGCUUGAGGACUGGAGAGGAGACUGGAAUUUACGGUGUAGCGGUGAAAUGCAUUGAGAUCGGAAAGAACACCAACGGCGAAAGCACUCUGCUGGGCCGACACUGACACUGAGCGACGAAAGCUAGGGGAGCAAAUGGG